Pongo abelii (Sumatran orangutan) is the source of this 77-nucleotide small nucleolar RNA. Its record names the gene U3. It matches the Rfam family "Small nucleolar RNA U3". Rfam says of the family: Small nucleolar RNAs (snoRNAs) are involved in the processing and modification of rRNA in the nucleolus. The record is from Ensembl. Lineage: Eukaryota; Metazoa; Chordata; Mammalia; Primates; Hominidae.
AAGACUAUACUUUCAGGAAUCAUUUCUAUAGUUUGUUACUAGAGAAGUUUCUCUGAAUGUGUAGAGCAAAAUAUAUA